RNAcentral lists this ribosomal RNA (253 nucleotides) under uncultured bacterium. RNAcentral's name for it is "partial 16S ribosomal RNA". It matches the Rfam family "Bacterial small subunit ribosomal RNA", at positions 524 to 776 of the family's 1533-position model. The record is from RNAcentral.
UACAGAGGUCCCAAUCGUUGUUCGGAUUCAUUGGGCGUAAAGGGUGCGUAGGCGGCGCGGUAAGUCGGGUGUGAAAUCUCGGAGCUUAACUCCGAAACUGCAUUCGAUACUGCCGUGCUUGAGGACUGGAGAGGAGACUGGAAUUUACGGUGUAGCGGUGAAAUGCGUAGAUAUCGUAAGGAAGACCAGUGGCGAAGGCGGGUCUCUGGACAGUUCCUGACGCUGAGGCACGAAGGCCAGGGGAGCAAACGGG